RNAcentral lists this ribosomal RNA (274 nucleotides) under uncultured bacterium. RNAcentral describes it as "partial 16S ribosomal RNA". It matches the Rfam family "Bacterial small subunit ribosomal RNA", at positions 523 to 796 of the family's 1533-position model. The record is from RNAcentral.
CUACGGAGGGUGCAAGCGUUACUCGGAAUCACUGGGCGUAAAGCGCGCGCAGGCGGCUAUUUAAGUUGGAUGUGAAAGCCUACGGCUCAACCGUAGAACUGCAUCCAAAACUAUUUAGCUAGAGUGUGGGAGAGGAAGAUGGAAUUAGUUGUGUAGGGGUAAAAUCCGUAGAGAUAACUAGGAAUACCAAAAGCGAAGGCAAUCUUCUGGAACACUACUGACGCUGAGGCGCGAAAGCGUGGGGAGCAAACGGGAUUAGAAACCCUUGUAGUCC